RNAcentral lists this unclassified non-coding RNA (422 nucleotides) under soil metagenome. RNAcentral describes it as "partial contains 5.8S ribosomal RNA, internal transcribed spacer 2, and large subunit ribosomal RNA". The stretch from base 1 to 120 matches the Rfam family "5.8S ribosomal RNA", at positions 35 to 154 of the family's 154-position model. The record is from RNAcentral.
GAUGAAGAACGUAGCGAAAUGCGAUAAGUAAUGUGAAUUGCAGAUUUCAGUGAAUCAUCGAAUCUUUGAACGCACCUUGCGCCUUGUGGUAUUCCACAAGGCAUGCCCGUUUGAGUAUCAUUAAAUCAUCAACUCUAAAACCUUUGUGGUUUUUUUAGAGCUUGGUCUUGAGGGUUUUGCAGGCUUUUUUUUUUUUCGAGUCUGCUCCCUUUAAAUGCAUUAGCGAGACUUCCCUAUGCUGAACCGUCUCUUUGACGUGAUAAUUAUCUGCGUCGAAUUUUGGUUCUCGUUGGGCUUGCUUCUAAUCGUCUGUUAAAGACAAAACGGAUUUGGGUGCAUAUAUGCGCCUUUUUCCAAAACCUUUUUUGAUCUCAAAUCGGGUAGGACUACCCGCUGAACUUAAGCAUAUCAAUAAGCGGAGA